AACGCGAAGAACCUUACCUACUCUUGACAUCCAUGGGAUCUGGCAGAGAUGCUGGAGUGCCUUCGGGAACCAUGAGACAGGUGCUGCAUGGCUGUCGUCAGCUCGUGUCGUGAGAUGUUGGGUUAAGUCCCGUAACGAGCGCAACCCUUAUCCUUAGUUGCCAUUGGGUAAAGCCAGGAACUCUAAGGAGACUGCCGGUGAUAAGCCGGAGGAAGGCGGGGACGAUGUCAAGUCAUCAUGGCCCUUACGAGUAGGGCUACACACGUGCUACAAUGGGCGGUACAGAGGGAAGCGAAGCCGCGAGGUGGAGCGAAUCUCACUAAAGCCGCUCGUAGUCCGGAUUGGAGUCUGCAACUCGACUCCAUGAAGUUGGAAUCGCUAGUAAUCGCGGAUCAGAACGCCGCGGUGAAUACGUUCUCGGGCCUUGUACACACCGACGCGUA
RNAcentral lists this ribosomal RNA (443 nucleotides) under uncultured bacterium. RNAcentral's name for it is "bacterial SSU rRNA". It matches the Rfam family "Bacterial small subunit ribosomal RNA", at positions 958 to 1399 of the family's 1533-position model. The record is from RNAcentral.